GAACUGAAGAGUUUGAUCAUGGCUCAGAUUGAACGCUGGCGGCAGGCCUAACACAUGCAAGUCGAGCGGAUGAAGGGAGCUUGCUCCUUGAUUCAGCGGCGGACGGGUGAGUAAUGCCUAG
RNAcentral lists this ribosomal RNA (121 nucleotides) under Pseudomonas sp. DCB_Q. RNAcentral's name for it is "partial 16S ribosomal RNA". It matches the Rfam family "Bacterial small subunit ribosomal RNA", at positions 1 to 120 of the family's 1533-position model. The record is from RNAcentral. Lineage: Bacteria; Pseudomonadati; Pseudomonadota; Gammaproteobacteria; Pseudomonadales; Pseudomonadaceae.